This 723-nucleotide ribosomal RNA is filed under the name Saccharomyces cerevisiae (brewer's yeast). RNAcentral describes it as "partial large subunit ribosomal RNA". The stretch from base 95 to 723 matches the Rfam family "Eukaryotic large subunit ribosomal RNA", at positions 1 to 633 of the family's 3401-position model. Lineage: Eukaryota; Fungi; Ascomycota; Saccharomycetes; Saccharomycetales; Saccharomycetaceae. The record is from RNAcentral.
ACCUCCCCUGACACUCUAAAUCCUCCUCCCAUAGUUGAGUUCUCUUAAGAGUUGCUUUGUCUCAUCUCUCUUUCUCAUCAACUACACUCCCGACAGUCCCCUUCUCCAGCAAAUCAAACAGCGUUUUUUUGAAAUUCUCCAUAGCGGAGGAAAAGAAACCCACCGGGAUUGCCUUAGUAACGGCGAGUGGAGCGGCAAAAGCUCAAAUUUGAAAUCUGGUACCUUCGGUGCCCGAGUUGUAAUUUGGAGAGGGCAACUUUGGGGCCGUUCCUUGUCUAUGUUCCUUGGAACAGGACGUCAUAGAGGGUGAGAAUCCCGUGUGGCGAGGAGUGCGGUUCUUUGUAAAGUGCCUUCGAAGAGUCGAGUUGUUUGGGAAUGCAGCUCUAAGUGGGUGGUAAAUUCCAUCUAAAGCUAAAUAUUGGCGAGAGACCGAUAGCGAACAAGUACAGUGAUGGAAAGAUGAAAAGAACUUUGAAAAGAGAGUGAAAAAGUACGUGAAAUUGUUGAAAGGGAAGGGCAUUUGAUCAGACAUGGUGUUUUGUGCCCUCUGCUCCUUGUGGGUAGGGGAAUCUCGCAUUUCACUGGGCCAGCAUCAGUUUUGGUGGCAGGAUAAAUCCAUAGGAAUGUAGCUUGCCUCGGUAAGUAUUAUAGCCUGUGGGAAUACUGCCAGCUGGGACUGAGGACUGCGACGUAAGUCAAGGAUGCUGCAUAAGACCGAGCUUU